AAGCUGGACAUAGUGGACAGAUGCAUCAACAGCCUCCAUGAGAAGCGGCGCUCAACGCGCGAGGCGGGCAUGGAGGGGCUCGUCGGCCUCCUCGAGGGCUUCAUACCGAUGGACAGGAUCGACUACCGGUGCCUCACGAUAUUCUUCCGGUGUAGAGCCUCCCUCAACUCGGGUUCCGCAAGGGAGGCCUUGCUCGCUUACCGCGCCAUUGGCCUCCUCGCGCUCACCGUCGGCGACAACGCCGACUGCUCCAAGGAAAUCCUCACGGGCACGCUCCAGCUCCCCACACUCAUGAAGACGCUACGAGCGUCGUCCGACGACGCGAAGGUGGCAGCUGCUCUCAACUGUCUCGCCAUUGUCACUUUUGCUGCCGCACGUCGCCCGGAGGACGUGGAGCCAUCAAUUAGGGCAAUUUGGGGCGUGAUCAAGAGUUCCAGAGCGGACAAUAGGACCGCCCCCAGAGUCUUGAUCACCGCCUUGUCCGCGUGGGCAUUGCUUCUCACCACCCUCGGUGACUUGAGGACGUACCCAUAUGCCUGGAAAGAGGCAACGAUCCCCUUCCGCGACCUCGCCGAGCUCCUUAACACCGACGACCCGGCCCUCUUGAUGGCAUCUGGCGAGGCGCUCGCAGUGUGUGCGGAGCUCAACUUGAUGCAGCACGCCACUCCUGAGGACAUGGAGACGCUUGAGAUCAAAGUGUCCGACCUCGCAAGCGGCACCCAUGGGAAUGACAAGAAGCUCACCGGACAAAUUAGGGCCAUGUUCCAGCAGAUCGCCGCCAUCAUGAAACGAGGCCAGUGCUCAGAUGAGGAAUUGGUACCGACGACAUGGAGGCAGAGAUGCGUGCUCAUGGUCUCCAAGUGGGCACGACUAGUACAGCUCAACUUUGUAAAGCGGUUCCUAGGCAAGUGUUUCGACAAGCACAUCCAUGACAACCCGCUCUUUCGGGAGUCCUCCUUCAACAAUGUCGCUACCAAUGAGACGAGUGACCUACCCGUCAAGAAGAGCAAACAGCAUAAGUUUGGUAGAGAAAAACAAUAUACUGUGGCCCUGAAGAGAGAUCGCAUGAUUAGCUGGGAAAGCAAGAACGACUUCCUACUUCUUUAA
RNAcentral lists this ribosomal RNA (1107 nucleotides) under Triticum aestivum (bread wheat). RNAcentral describes it as "partial small subunit ribosomal RNA". Lineage: Eukaryota; Viridiplantae; Streptophyta; Magnoliopsida; Poales; Poaceae. The record is from RNAcentral.